Molecule: ribosomal RNA, 301 nt
Filed under: uncultured bacterium
Lineage: Bacteria
Description: partial 16S ribosomal RNA
Rfam family: Bacterial small subunit ribosomal RNA
Source: RNAcentral
CAGUAGCCGCGGGAAAACGAGGGGGGCAAGCGUUGUUCGGAAUUAUUGGGCGUAAAGGGUGCGUAGGCGGUUUCUUAAGUCUGAUGUGAAAGCCCCCGGCUCAACCGGGGAGGGUCAUUGGAAACUGGGAAACUUGAGUGCAGAAGAGGAGAGUGGAAUUCCACGUGUAGCGGUGAAAUGCGUAGAGAUGUGGAGGAACACCAGUGGCGAAGGCGACUCUCUGGUCUGUAACUGACGCUGAGGAGCGAAAGCGUGGGGAGCGAACAGGAUUAGAUACCCCGGUAGUCCCUGUCUCUUAUAC